CUUGCUUCUUGGUCUUUUGGCUAAGAUCAAGUGUAGAGUCUGUCCUUAAAAGUUUAAGAUCUGAUAUGUCCUGUAUCCAAGGACCAUAUAUUAAAUAGAUUUUUGGAGCAGGGAGAUGGAAUAGGAGCUUGCUCCAUCCACUCUGCAGUGACCUGGUAUCAAAGAACCUCCAAGAACAGUGCACCUCUC
RNAcentral lists this small nuclear RNA (189 nucleotides) under Castor canadensis (American beaver). RNAcentral describes it as "U2 spliceosomal RNA (ENSCCNG00000031017.1)". It matches the Rfam family "U2 spliceosomal RNA". Rfam says of the family: U2 is a small nuclear RNA (snRNA) component of the spliceosome (involved in pre-mRNA splicing). Complementary binding between U2 snRNA (in an area lying towards the 5' end but 3' to hairpin I) and the branchpoint sequence (BPS) of the intron results the bulging out of an unpaired adenosine, on the BPS, which initiates a nucleophilic attack at the intronic 5' splice site, thus starting the first of two transesterification reactions that mediate splicing. Lineage: Eukaryota; Metazoa; Chordata; Mammalia; Rodentia; Castoridae. The record is from Rfam by way of RNAcentral.